CCUACGGGUGGCAGCAGUGAGGAAUUUUGGACAAUGGGGGGAACCCUGAUCCAGCGACGCCGCGUGAGUGAAGAAGUCUUUCGGUAUGUAAAGCUCUAUCAUCGGGGAAGAAAAUGACGUUACGCUGAAAACACUCUACGGCUAACUACGUGCCAGCAGCCGCGGUAAUACGUAGGUGGCAAGCGUUGUCCGGAUUUACUGGGUGUAAAGGGCGUUUAGCCGGGUAGGCAAGUCAGAUGUGAAAUCCGGAGGCUGAACCUCCGAACUGCAUUUGAAACUGUUUGUCUUGAGUACGGGAGAGGCAGACGGAAUUCCUUGUGUAGCGGUGAAAUGCGUAGAUAUAAGGAGGAACACCAGUGGCGAAGGCGGUCUGCUGGACAGCAACUGACGGUGAGGCGCGAAAGCGUGGGGAGCAAACAGGAUUAGAUACCCUAGUAGUC
This 440-nucleotide ribosomal RNA is filed under the name uncultured bacterium. RNAcentral describes it as "partial 16S ribosomal RNA". It matches the Rfam family "Bacterial small subunit ribosomal RNA", at positions 338 to 795 of the family's 1533-position model. The record is from RNAcentral.